AGAUUACCAGGAUUGUUCAGAAUACACAACCUGACCGUCAGACAGUGCUUUUCUCGGCUACGUUUCCUCGCCAGGUAGAAAUAUUGGCAAGGAAAGUACUGAACAAGCCUGUAGAAAUCCAGGUUGGGGGAAGGAGUGUUGUGAACAAAGAUAUUACCCAGUUGGUUGAGCUCAGGCAGGAAAGUGAUAGGUUCCACAGGCUGUUA
RNAcentral lists this unclassified non-coding RNA (206 nucleotides) under Hevea brasiliensis (rubber tree). The record is from RNAcentral. Lineage: Eukaryota; Viridiplantae; Streptophyta; Magnoliopsida; Malpighiales; Euphorbiaceae.